CGAACGCUGGCGGCGUGCUUACCACAUGCAAGUCGAACGCUGAAGCUCAGCUUUUGUUGGGUGGAUGAGUGGCGAACGGGUGAGUAACACGUGAGUAACCUGCCUCCUUCUUUGGGAUAACGCCCGGAAACGGGUGCUAAUACUGGAUAUUCACUGGUCUUCGCAUGGGGGUUGGUGGAAAGGGUUUUUCUGGUGGGGGAUGGGCUCGCGGCCUAUCAGCUUGUUGGUGGGGUGAUGGCCUACCAAGGCUUUGACGGGUAGCCGGCCUGAGAGGGUGACCGGUCACAUUGGGACUGAGAUACGGCCCAGACUCCUACGGGAGGCAGCAGUGGGGAAUAUUGCACAAUGGGCGCAAGCCUGAUGCAGCGACGCCGCGUGAGGGAUGGAGGCCUUCGGGUUGUGAACCUCUUUCGCUCAUGGUCAAGCCGCAACAAUGGUUGUGGUGAGGGUAGUGGGUAAAGAAGCGCCGGCUAACUACGUG
This 481-nucleotide ribosomal RNA is filed under the name uncultured bacterium. RNAcentral's name for it is "partial 16S ribosomal RNA". It matches the Rfam family "Bacterial small subunit ribosomal RNA", at positions 30 to 507 of the family's 1533-position model. The record is from RNAcentral.